UCCCGUGUGGUCUAGUGGUUAGGAUUUCCCGCUUUCACCGGGACGGCCCGGGUUCGAUUCCCGGCACGGGAA
This is a transfer RNA of Folsomia candida, 72 nucleotides long. It matches the Rfam family "tRNA". From Rfam's summary of the family: Transfer RNA (tRNA) molecules are approximately 80 nucleotides in length. Their secondary structure includes four short double-helical elements and three loops (D, anti-codon, and T loops). Further hydrogen bonds mediate the characteristic L-shaped molecular structure. tRNAs have two regions of fundamental functional importance: the anti-codon, which is responsible for specific mRNA codon recognition, and the 3' end, to which the tRNAs corresponding amino acid is attached (by aminoacyl-tRNA synthetases). tRNAs cope with the degeneracy of the genetic code in two manners: having more than one tRNA (with a specific anti-codon) for a particular amino acid; and 'wobble' base-pairing, i.e. permitting non-standard base-pairing at the 3rd anti-codon position. Lineage: Eukaryota; Metazoa; Arthropoda; Collembola; Entomobryomorpha; Isotomidae. The record is from Rfam.